CAGUCGCCGCGGGAAUACGUAGGGUGCAAGCGUUAAUCGGAAUUACUGGGCGUAAAGCGUGCGCAGGCGGUUUGUUAAGACAGAUGUGAAAUCCCCGGGCUUAACCUGGGAACUGCAUUUGUGACUGGCAAGCUAGAGUCUGGCAGAGGGGGGUGGAAUUCCGCGUGUAGCAGUGAGAUGCGUAGAUAUGCGGAGGAACACCGAUGGCGAAGGCAGCCCCCUGGGCCAACACUGACGCUCAUGCACGAAAGCGUGGGGAGCAAACAGGAUUAGAUACCCCCGUAGUCCCUGUCUCUUAUAC
Molecule: ribosomal RNA, 301 nt
Filed under: uncultured bacterium
Lineage: Bacteria
Description: partial 16S ribosomal RNA
Rfam family: Bacterial small subunit ribosomal RNA
Source: RNAcentral